GGGUGAUUAGCUCAGCUGGGAGAGCACCUCCCUUACAAGGAGGGGGUCGGCGGUUCGAUCCCGUCAUCACCCC
Molecule: transfer RNA, 73 nt
Filed under: Escherichia coli
Lineage: Bacteria; Pseudomonadati; Pseudomonadota; Gammaproteobacteria; Enterobacterales; Enterobacteriaceae
Also listed under: 5 other names
Description: tRNA-Val
Rfam family: tRNA
About the family: Transfer RNA (tRNA) molecules are approximately 80 nucleotides in length. Their secondary structure includes four short double-helical elements and three loops (D, anti-codon, and T loops).
Source: RNAcentral